RNAcentral lists this ribosomal RNA (253 nucleotides) under uncultured bacterium. Its description in RNAcentral is "partial 16S ribosomal RNA". It matches the Rfam family "Bacterial small subunit ribosomal RNA", at positions 524 to 776 of the family's 1533-position model. The record is from RNAcentral.
UACGAAGGGUGCAAGCGUUAUCCGGAUUCACUGGGUUUAAAGGGUGCGUAGGUGGGUCUGUAAGUCAGUGGUGAAAUCUCCGUGCUUAACAUGGAAACUGCCAUUGAUACUAUAGGUCUUGAAUUUUCUGGAGGUAAGCGGAAUAUGUCAUGUAGCGGUGAAAUGCUUAGAUAUGACAUAGAACACCAAUUGCGAAGGCAGCUUGCUACAGGGAUAUUGACACUGAGGCACGAAAGCGUGGGGAUCAAACAGG